UACAGAGGUGGCAAGCGUUGUUCGGAUUUACUGGGCGUAAAGGGCGCGUAGGCGGUUCGUUAAGUCUUGUGUGAAAUCCCCCGGCUCAACUGGGGAACUGCACAGGAAACUAGCGGGCUUGAGUUCGGGAGAGGGAAGCGGAAUUCCGGGUGUAGCGGUGAAAUGCGUAGAUAUCCGGAGGAACACCGGUGGCGAAGGCGGCUUCCUGGACCGACACUGACGCUGAGGCGCGAAAGCUAGGGGAGCAAACGGG
RNAcentral lists this ribosomal RNA (253 nucleotides) under uncultured bacterium. RNAcentral describes it as "partial 16S ribosomal RNA". It matches the Rfam family "Bacterial small subunit ribosomal RNA", at positions 524 to 776 of the family's 1533-position model. The record is from RNAcentral.